Molecule: long non-coding RNA, 4180 nt
Organism: Chrysemys picta bellii (western painted turtle)
Lineage: Eukaryota; Metazoa; Chordata; Testudines; Emydidae
Source: RefSeq, a predicted model, not a curated record
GGCGCGCGCGGGGCUCACGAGCUCCGAGAGGGGCCGCGCCGGGGAGAGGAGCCGCGAGGGCAGCAUCGCUGCCAGGCACAGCGGCGGGGCGCUGGGAAGGGCUGGGCUCGCUCCAACUCCCUCCGCCAGUUCCCAGCCUGGGGUGCAGUCAGCGGCUGCGUGGAGCGAUAGCGAACUGUGCCCGCAAAGCGCAGAGCUGGGCGACACGGGUGUCCCGUGCCCCUCCAAAUGGGUCCCGAGCCCGCAGUGAUCGACCACCAGCUUGGGAGGAUAAGCAGGAGGACUUGGGACCCAGUCUGCAAAGGGAUCCGUACAGAGGGGCCCUUAACUGCACAGAGGCAGAGGAACCUGAAGAAGAGCUCUGUGUCGCCCCACAGCUUGUCUCUCUCCCCAACACAAGUUGGUCCAAUACAAAAUAUUACCUCACCCACCUUGUCCCUCCAGAAUCCCACCCAUGCACAGUGAGGGGUGGCAGGCUUGUAUUCCACUAGGCCGCUUACAAGUACAAAACUGCAAUUGUACACAUAGUGGGUUUUAAGCAUUUUCAUCCUGUCAUGCACAAGAGAAUGUCUCAUGGACCAGCUCCCUUCCACACACCUGAAAUCCCCCCUCCCAGCAAACUUCCUCAAAAUAUUAAUUCUGUGGACUCCAGUGCACAGGCUGGGUUGGAGGUUUUUUGGAGGGGGAUGGGGCAGGAGUCCCAUGUACAGGGUAGGAGGGAGUUUGUACCUGGAGCCUUUCUGAGUUUCCUUCCUCACCCUUUGCAUUUUCUCAUGUCCUUCUCUCAACACUGCCUCUCUUCACUGCAUUGGUGCACCUAGCACAUGCAGCAGCAUGCGUGCUCUCCAGCUGCACAGCUAGCAGAAGAGCUAUUAAUAGUUCCAACUCCUUGUGCAGAAUCCUCUGUUUCCCUCAUGUGAGACAUAGUGUCUCCUCCUGCAGCAGCUGAACCCCCAGAGCUGGUUAGGGGGGAAGCUCAGCCUUUCCUUUCUCUGCAUUGCAGCGUUCACUUUUCAUUGCAUUUUUUAAUUUCAUUUUUUUAAAUGAUUUUACUGCUGGUGAAAGAGGGUGAAUUCACUGCCUAACAGACUGAAGGUUUUUGGUUUGUCCUAGCGCAAUGCCUUUGCAGCUCUUCCUAUGCCCUUCUGCCAAUGGGCACCACUCAUAAGAGUUUACCCCACCACUCACUCAGGGUGCUGAGAGCCAUUGAACCAAACUGUAAACCUUGUAUAUAAUAGAAACCACUUCAAGCCAGGGGGUAUGGCAGCAUCCCUAGUUCCAGCAUCUAUGCCUCUCACCAGUGCACCUACCAGUGGUAAUGGGAACUUCCCCCUGAAGUUGACUGUAAAGGCUAACGUCCAUGCCAGAGCAGCCCUUUUUUUAGUUUCAUUUAAAUCCAAAUCAUGCAGAUCAUUGAGUGAGCUAUGGACAAGUGUACUACCAUAAAGGUAUCAAUCCUAACCUACAAAAUUAUAAUUUAGCACACUGUUAAACUCCCCCCACCUUCCCUAAACAAGAGACUGUUCUUCCUGGAUUCCAUUUUGUUAAGAUACAAGACGUCACCAUCUUCACAGUCCUGAAACCCUCCAAGAAAUUUGAGUGGAGCAAAAUACAAAUCUGUUUAUCUUCAGGGUGGGUACAGAAUGAGGAAAAGGCAGCUCUACAGUAUGCUUUUUGGUUUCCCUUACACCUAGAAGGGAUGGGAUCAAGGCAGCAUCACCGCCCCCCAACCUGGUGUAAAAUAACACUGACCAAGUUAGAAUCACACUCUGAGGUAUGAUUCUGGGGGCAGCCACGUGACCAUGCAAUCAGUGAGUCCAAGAAGAAAUGCAGAAAUACAUGGUCUGUGGGUUUCCUGACAGCUACAGAUAAUGAAGGCUAAUCCCUCUGCCACUGAGAAGCAAACAGCCACCCCUCUAUUUCCUAAAUUCAUAACCCAAUAACUUUAGCAUAGGGUCCUGUGUUAUAGAAUAUCAGGGUUGGAAGGGACCUCAGGAGGUCAUCUAGUCCAACCCCCCUGCUCAAGGCAGGACUAAUCCCCAGACAGAUUUUUACCCCAGAUCCCUAAAUGGCCCCCUCAAGGAUUGAACUCACAGUGCUGGGUUUAGCAGGCCAAUGCGCAAACCACUGAACUAUCCCUCGGCGGUCAUCACUAUUGUUCUGUGGAUCCAGUGUGUAAGGAGCUUGGAAUCCUUGCAGUUUUGUCUUCAGACCUAGCUUCUCUAGACCAUUUUGGCAGAGCUACUACUGCUAAUCUAUGUUCUGUACCAAAUGCUGUUGUUACCACUCAGCAACCAGUUGUCUAUCUUACAGUUAGGAAAUAAAUUACCACUUCAGAAAAGUAUAAGUCUAUGGAAUAGUUUUGCAGCACAAGACUGCAUUUCACUCGUACAAGGAGAAAUGUAAUCUAUUUAAAAUCAGUGAUAGGGCACUGUGACUUUUGCAGUGUGAGUUUUACUGCCUAGUAGCCAUAGUUUUAUAGUGCCUCUAUUAUAAACUGCAUUUCAGCUCUUUAGUGCAGAGCAGAUCAGCAGUUGAGAUCAGCAAUGCUGCAAGUUGCAUUGUGUGUUGCAUAGUGAUAAGGGCUUUAGCAGAUCUGAGGAUGGAUUGAGGUUGCUGAUUCAGUUUACAAGAUGGGCUGGGGUAAUGAGAAAACCUAAAUGAACAGAGCAACACAUGGGAUUUGUACUGGUUAAUGUGUCCUUUCCACCCCACCUUCCCCCUAAACCGCCACUCAUUCUUAAUGUCACUUUAGUAGUUCAUAACGUAUGAAGUGCAUUUGUACAGCAUUAUUCUUUUUAAAGAGUGUUUUAUUACUAAUUAAUUAUUCCUCAAUACACCUAUUUGUAGCAAUGUAGCAUUAUUAUCCCUUUUUCAGAAACAGAGAAGAUACACAUCCAUAGUUGCAUCAUUUUCAUCUUACUUUGAAGAUUUCUAAUGCUACCAUGCAUUUGAAGUAAAUUUUAUAAAUAACUGUCAAUGAAACAUUGAUUUUUGGGGAAAGGAUCUCAGAAAACUGGAAGAGAAAUACAUUUUAUCAGAAGUUGGACUUAUUUUAUUUUUGCAUAGCUCAAGUCCCACAUAUCCUGUUUUUGAACCUUGAGAAGAGCUCCCUCAGUGCAGUAUGAAGAAGCCUGCAAUGUUGCUGCCUGUCCUAUACUUGUUUUAUGGAUAAACAGAGAUCUUCCUUCCAACUGUCGGACCAACAUUUUUCAAGACUCAGUGCCUACAAGUUGGAAAGUACUGUAUAUUACCCAAUGUGGCUGGUGCAGUCUAGCCAUUUCUCUCCUUCUCACUCACAGUUAGUUGACCUGGGUUGGAAAACUCCAAGCACGCUGGCAGUCCAGUGCUGCCUGGACUACACUGGGAACUCUACCAUCUAACCCAGCUGGAGUAUUUCAGCUUUAAUUGCAUGGUAGGGAGGUCCACACCAGAGUCUCUUGGGUUGGCUGCUGCUGUCUCUGCAGCAUCAACCCAAACUGCCUCAGCUCUGCUUCAGCCACUGCUGCUCUGCACCAUCUAUCACUUUGAAAGCGCCACUGCUACUCUGCAUCGUCUGUUGCCUCAGAGCUUCCACCACGGCUCGGUACCAUCCACUGCCUCAAAGCCACCCUCAGCUCUGUACCAUCCACUGCUCUAUAGCGGUCUCAGCUCAGUUCUUUUAGAAGGACCACUAUCAUCUAGGAACCUUAACUGAGUCCUCAUCACCAGAGAGGCACACCCAACAAAAGACAGAAGAUGUUUUCCUUCUUUUCAGCUCUGUCCAGGCUCACUUACCCAAAUAUGCAUGACAGCAGUCUCAGUGAGGGUGACCCCAGGCAUAUGCAAUGUUGAUGUCUAGUCCUUGUAUUUCCCCAACAAGAUCAGUAACAUUUAAUUGCCCCCAAACUCAAAGUUUAACUGUACUUUUACCAAAAUGCCCCAAACUGUCAUACCUAUUCAAUCAAUUCCCUUUGCCCUCCAACAGAUGUUGGCAGAGAGCCUCCUCCCCCGUGGAGCCCCUGCUCAUCUGGAGUCUUAAGCAGCUCUCAGCCAUUCUUCUCCCAUUUCACCAAUGGGUGACAAUAGAGAGCUCUUUAUUCUCUAACACAGGGGUAGGCAACCUAUGGCAUGCGUGCCAAAGGCGGCACGCGAGCUGAUUUUCAGCGGCACUCUCACUGCCCGGGUCCUGGCCACAAGU